GACGAACGCUGGCGGCGUGCUUAACACAUGCAAGUCGAGCGGAAAGGCCCUGCUCUUGUGGGGUGCUCGAUUGGCGAACGGGUGAGUAACACGUGUGUAACCUGCCCUUGACUUUGGGAUAACUUCAGGAGACUGGGGCUAAUACCGGAUAGGAGCUCCUGCUGCAUGGUGUGGGUUGGAAAGUUUCGGCGGUUGGGGAUGGACUCGCAGCUUAUCAGCUGGUUGGUGGGGUAGUGGCUUACCAAGGCUUUGACGGGUAGCCGGCCUGAGAGGGUGACCGGCCACAUUGGGACUGCGAUACGGCCCAGACUCCUACGGGAGGCAGCAGUGGGGAAUAUUGCGCAAUGGGCGGAAGCCUGAUGCAGCAACGCCGCGUGCGGGAUGACGGCCUUCGGGUUGUAAACCGCUUUCGCCUGUGACGAAGCGUGAGUGACGGUAAUGGGUAAAGAAGCAACGGCUAACUACGUG
Molecule: ribosomal RNA, 468 nt
Filed under: uncultured bacterium
Lineage: Bacteria
Description: partial 16S ribosomal RNA
Rfam family: Bacterial small subunit ribosomal RNA
Source: RNAcentral